Molecule: non-coding RNA, 1624 nt
Organism: Callorhinus ursinus (northern fur seal)
Lineage: Eukaryota; Metazoa; Chordata; Mammalia; Carnivora; Otariidae
Source: RefSeq, a predicted model, not a curated record
GAAAAGGAAAAAUAGGUGGAAAGCAUAUAAUAUCAGAAAUCAAUGUAAAAAAGUCAUCAAAAUGUAAAUUUGCCAAGCAUUCCAAAAUUUUUCAAUCACAUUUUUUAUUUUAUUUUAUUUCAUCUUAAAGAUUUCUUUGAGAGUGCGUGCAUAUGCACAUGUGAGUGGGGGAGGGGCAGAGGGAGAGAAUCUUCAAGCCAACUCCUUGCUGAGUGCUGAACCACAUGCAAGGACCCAACCUUAUGACCAUGAGAUCAUGACCUGAACUGAAACCAAGAGUCAGGCGCUUAACUGACUAAGCCACCCACGUGCUCCCUCAAUCGUAUUUUUAAACAUCAAGCAAAAAUUGUUUAAAGACACAGAAGAAUUCAGAAAAAUCAAUGAAUGGAGAAAAGGUAUUUUAACAAAAAAAAUUACAGCUAUGUUAAUUACAAAUUCAAAAGAAGUUACUGUAUAAAUCAGAUUACUGGCCCAGGUCCGUCCCCUUUUCUGUGGAGUCUGAGUGAGCCUUCGCAGGUUUUGCUUCCCCACUCUAGAACCGGAUCACCAUGGCGACUGGACAGAAGUUGAUGAGAGCGAUUCGAGUUUUUGAAUUUGGUGGACCAGAAGUUCUGAAACUCCAGUCGGAUAUUGCAGUACCAAUUCCAAAAGACCAUCAGGUUCUGAUCAAAGUCCACGCGUGUGGUGUAAACCCAGUGGAAACAUAUAUUCGUUCUGGUACUUACAGCAGAAAACCACUCUUACCCUAUACUCCUGGUUCAGAUGUGGCUGGUGUAAUAGAAGCCGUUGGAGAUAAUGUGUUCACUUUCAAGAAAGGCGACAGAGUUUUCACUACCAGCACCAUCUCUGGGGGCUAUGCCGAGUAUGCUCUCGCAGCAGAUCACAGUGUUUACACACUGCCAGAAAAACUGGACUUUGAGCAGGGAGCUGCCUUCGGUAUUCUCUAUUUUACUGCUUAUCGAGCUCUGCUCCACAGUGCCCGUGUGAAAGCUGGAGAAAGUGUGCUGGUUCAUGGGGCUAGUGGAGGAGUUGGACUAGCAGCAUGCCAGAUUGCCAGAGCUUAUGUCUUAAAGGUUUUGGGCACAGCUGGUACUGAGGAAGGACAAAACAUUGUUUUGCAAAAUGGAGCCCAUGAAGUGUUCAGUCACAGAGAACUUAAUUAUAUUGAUAAAAUUAAGAAAUCUGUUGGUGAAAAACGAAUUGAUGUGAUCAUUGAAAUGUUAGCUAAUGUAAAUCUUAGUAAUGAUUUGAAUCUUCUGUCAUAUGGAGGACGAGUAAUAGUUGUUGGCAGCAGAGGUCCUAUUGAAAUAAACCCACGGGACACCAUGGCAAAGGAAUCUAGUAUAAUUGGAGUUGCUCUCUAUUCAUCAACUAAGGAGGAAUUUAGGCAAUUUGCAGCCGCCCUUCAAGCUGGAAUGGAAAUUGGUUGGUUGAGACCUGUAAUAGGUUCUCAGUAUUCACUGGAGAAGGUGGCCCAGGCUCACAAAAAUAUCAUCCAUAACAGUGGGGCUCGUAGGAAAAUGAUUCUUCUCUUAGAAUGAUUAAUUCUUUCAUGUAUUUCCUAUGCAAUUAGAAGUUUCCUGUCCCAGUUUAAUUAUACUACCUUUGCUCUAUCAGCAUUCAU